RNAcentral lists this long non-coding RNA (1906 nucleotides) under Mus musculus (house mouse). RNAcentral's name for it is "long non-coding RNA chr6:117989168-117991074". Lineage: Eukaryota; Metazoa; Chordata; Mammalia; Rodentia; Muridae. The record is from RNAcentral.
CUUUAGUCUUUUGUGUCAACUUUCAAUUUUUCUUCAACUUAGUUUUCAUAAUAUUUUAUCUUUUUCUUUUUUUCUCAAUGACUUUCUUCAGACUGUGGGAAGAUAUGUAGUCUUUCGUCUCGAGAGCUGACAAGUGAAAAGAGGGAAGGCAACUGUUUUCUCAGUUCUCAGGAACAGGUUUCAGGCUGUGGCACUUCUCUGAAAAUUCCCUUGAAGGGUUUCUUCGGGGGUGGUGUCCACAGUGGUGGGAGGAGGAGUCUACACUCCUGCUCAACUGGAGAGCAGUGUCGCAAGAACCUCUUUUAGAAAUGUGUGUGACAAUCGCACCUACACAACUUCAGACCAAUUCUUAUCCAAGUUUCCAGGAACCGGAAUUUUCUCUGUCUGAUAGAAAUGCUUCUGGUGUAGUCCAGGCUAGCCUCGGACUCUCCAGGUACCCAAGGAUGACCCUAAAUUUCUGAUUCCCUCUCCCAGUGCUGAGAUUACAGGCUCUGUCCACCAUGCUUGCUUUUUUUUUUUUUGUUUGUUUUGUUUUGUUUUUGUUUUUGGUAGGGAUUGAACCCAGGUCUUCAUGCAUGCAAGGUGAGCACUCUCCUAACUGAGCCACAUCCCAGACCCUUCUGUUUUCUGGUCUGUUCCGGUGCAGUCAGGGGCUGCUAGAGACAAGGCAUAGGUGGUAGUGGUGGCUCAACCAAACGUGGGCGAGCCUGAACUCUCAGUUGCUCCUUCACCAGAGCAGGCCCACAUGUGCAGGCAGGAGGCAACGCUCCCUGUAUGCUGCUCUUCAUGCUGUCCUAGAAUUUCCUCCUCUGUAAUAUAUAGCUUCUAACCUCUGCCUGCUACAUAGACAGUGACCCACUGGGACUUACUGAACCUGGCUCACCUGUGUAUCGGUCAAUCUUCACUUGCAUCGUUUCUGUCUUUUGGCUUCUGUGGGUGAUGCUGGUGACCAAGUGUCUGUAUCAACAGGGACUAGAAAUGAUAGAUGAUAAACAGUGUCUAUGUUUAUCUGGGAGAGGGGAAAACAACUGUUUUCUACCCUAGCUGCCCUGCUUUAACAUUCCCACCAGCACUGUAGAAAGAGGCCAAGACCUUUGAGUUUCUAAUGCAAGAAAUCACUGUGAGAUUCAGCGCUGAAGAUCGCCCAUUUUCUUCUAAGAGGUCCAUAGUCUUAGUUCUAAUGUUUAAGUUCUAGACAACUUCCAGUUAAUUUUUGAUGUAUGAGGUUGAGUUCCAUUUUUGUCCUUUUGUACACUCAUUUUCUACUUUUUUGUCAUAGCGGAACAAGACUGUCUAAAGAGAAACCUGAGCUUUUAAUUUGGUCUUGGGCCCCUGCACUUGGCUGAAUGUCCCCACAGCUCCAGCGAUCACACACAUGUAUUGUUCUUUCCUUACAACUGUCUAUAUAUUGGAUCUGAGCACAUUUUUACUUCCUUCCUUUCCACUCUAGAUGUUGUUGUUAUUUGUAACUGAACACCUUCCUGUCUUCUAUGCCCACAGACUGCUGUGGAACACUAAUUAUGCUCCUUCUAAAGUCUUAUUCUGCUUGUUCGAUUCCCUGUGGGUCCUUGAACGUUUCCGGGAUGCUCUCGCUUCAGCUUUUGUGACGCUUGUUUCCUUGGGUGUGUGUUCAAGCAGUGGCUCAGGGCUGGGAGCUCAUCCAUGGCUUUUCCUUUCCUGUUUACCCAGUGAAGAUGCUGCAGUUCUUCCUGCCGCUCCCUCCUAGGCAACAGUGGGGAACAUCUAGCCUUGCAUCUGUGAACCCAGUGAGGCACUUCCCAAAGUCGGACUUCCUGGUCUAGUGGGGUUUUCCGGACUCUUUCUGGCCUCCAAAGCCCAGGAGACUUACCAUUUUGUAAGGUGAGGAAGGCACAGGGCCCAAACUUCUGCUCUCAGCAGCCUGACA